AGAAAACUGAGAUGACUAUAUCCUUUUGAAAAAUCUUGAAUUUCUUACAUUAGAUGUUUGGAAAAUUGCUAAAGAUCUGCUUAGUUUUUGUGAUUUUCUGGUCUUGAUCACUUGUCUAAAGUCGAUAAAAUGAUAAGGAUUUAUAACUAGUUUAAAAUAGACUGAAUCUGGGUUUGAGAAGUUCUGGUGUGAAGCUGUUUUAAUCCCCGAAGCUACUAUUACAUUACUGAGGAUUACGCUAAUUUAGCUAUUGCUGAUUACUGUUUUCUCACUCAUUUUGGUUACCCUUUUUCUCAGGUAAACUUCCUGAAACCUGUGUAAUCUGAUGCUCAUGUUGGAUUACAAAAAAUGGAAAUAUUUUAAAGCAUGGCAUCUGUUUUCUUGUUCAAAAUCAGUUUUAUUCUUUUUCUUUUCUUCUGACCUAUAAAAUAUUAUCACUGUGUUCGUGGAGAUUGUUAGAUUUCCUUAGAAUGAUUUGAUUUCUGAUUCAGCACACCUACUCUUUUUUGUUUGUAAGUUUACUUUGUAAUAUCAGUUAGACCUUGGACUUUAGCCACUAAAUAAGUUUGAAUUUGUAUUAGGAAACUUUUAAGGUUAUAGUUGUUAGUUUCAUGUUGGUUUAUAACAUGUCCUGGAUUUUGCUUGGUUUUGGUUGAGAUCAGGUGGGGUUUUUUAAUGUAGAUUCACGUUUAGGAUUCUUGAAAAGUGAUAAGUUGUUAGGUUGUAUAUGGGUUCUAUUCGUAUGAAAUUGGUUUGAAAUUUAAAGCUUCAGGUUUAAAUCUCAAAUUAAUUUGGAGAUUUGAAAGUUAAAGUUUGUCUACUGCUAGGUAUUAAAUUGGACUUUCAAUUAUUUUUCAAGGUCAAGUCACUGUUUGAAUGACAUAUAAUUAUCCGUUGAUGAAUUAAAGGGUGAUUCUAAAGGUUGUUUGUAUGAGUAUUGAUGCCUUUUUUUCCCUUUGCAUUUACGUGGUCUAUUGGCAGCUUCAGGCAUUAUGAGGACUCGAUAAUGGGUUUUACAUUGGGUGGUUGCAAAGCCGUUGGAAUUUGGGUUCAUGCUUGGGCCCAAACUGGACAGUCCCAUCGAAAUGGGAUUUGGAUCACUUUUUUUCCAUUAAGCCAUUCGCUUGAUUGUACUGGAUCAAUCCAUUUCCCAAUUAAUUUUCUUUUUCAUUU
Molecule: long non-coding RNA, 1173 nt
Filed under: Nicotiana benthamiana
Lineage: Eukaryota; Viridiplantae; Streptophyta; Magnoliopsida; Solanales; Solanaceae
Description: long non-coding RNA (NBEN_LNC024756)
Source: RNAcentral